This 22-nucleotide non-coding RNA is filed under the name Mus musculus (house mouse). Lineage: Eukaryota; Metazoa; Chordata; Mammalia; Rodentia; Muridae. The record is from RNAcentral.
UCUCCAAGGCGCCUUCCUGACC